UACUAUUUGUAAUAAAAAUCACAUAUAUAAAUUCUAAAUUUAUUG
Molecule: transfer RNA, 45 nt
Filed under: Drosophila melanogaster (fruit fly)
Lineage: Eukaryota; Metazoa; Arthropoda; Insecta; Diptera; Drosophilidae
Description: partial tRNA-Leu
Source: RNAcentral